UGAGGAAUUUUGCGCAAUGGGAGCAAUCCUGACGCAGCAACGCCGCGUGGGUGAUGAAGGCCUUCGGGUCGUAAAGCCCUGUCAGGUGGGAAGAAUGUCCCGGGACUGAACAGGUUUUGGGAGUGACGGUACCACCAGAGGAAGCACCGGCUAACUCCGUGCCAGCAGCCGCGGUAAUACGGUGGGUGCAAGCGUUAUUCGGAAUUACUGGGCGUAAAGCGCGGGUAGGCGGGCCUGCAAGUCGGAUGUGAAAGCCCCGGGCUUAACCCGGGAAGUGCAUUGGAAACUGUGGGACUUGAGGACUGGAGAGGAUGGGGGAAUUCCCGGUGUAGAGGUGAAAUUCGUAGAGAUCGGGAGGAACACCAGCGGCGCAGGCGGCUCACUAGACAGUUUCUGACGCUAAGAUACGAAAGCGUGGGGAGCAAACA
This 428-nucleotide ribosomal RNA is filed under the name uncultured prokaryote. RNAcentral describes it as "bacterial SSU rRNA". It matches the Rfam family "Bacterial small subunit ribosomal RNA", at positions 355 to 774 of the family's 1533-position model. The record is from RNAcentral.